CCCUUAGUUUGAUCCUGGCUCAGAACAAACGCUGGCGGCGUGCCUAACACAUGCAAGUCGUACGAGAAAGUUCGCUUCGGCGGAUGAGUAAAGUGGCGAACGGGUGAGUAACGCGUGGAUAAUCUGCCCUUUAGUUGGGGAUAACUCAUCGAAAGAUGGGCUAAUACCCGAUGAUACUGUAUUCACUGCGGUGAAUACAGUCAAAGGAGGCUUCUGUUUACAUGCUUUUGCUGAAGGACGAGUCCGCGUACCAUUAGCUAGUUGGUAGGGUAAUGGCCUACCAAGGCAACGAUGGUUAGCUGGUCUGAGAGGAUGAUCAGCCACACUGGAACUGAAACACGGUCCAGACUCCUACGGGAGGCAGCAGUGAGGAAUUUUGCGCAAUGGGGGAAACCCUGACGCAGCAACGCCGCGUGAGUGAGGAAGGCUUUCGGGUCGUAAAGCUCUGUCAGAUGGGAAGAAAUGCAGUGAAGUUAAUAUCUUCUCUGCUUGACGGUACCAUCAGAGGAAGCACCGGCUAACUCCGUGCCAGCAGCCGCGGUAAUACGGGGGGUGCAAGCGUUGUUCGGAAUUAUUGGGCGUAAAGAGCGUGUAGGCGGCUGGAUAAGUCAGAUGUGAAAGCCCUGGGCUUAACCCAGGAAGUGCAUUUGAAACUGUCCGGAUAGAGUAGGGGAGGAGGAAAGUGGAAUUCCUGGUUGUAGAGGUGAAAUUCGUAGAUAUCAUGAGAACACCGGGUGGCGAAGCGACUUUCUGGGCCCUAUACUGACGCUGAGACGCGAAGCGU
Molecule: ribosomal RNA, 784 nt
Filed under: uncultured bacterium
Lineage: Bacteria
Description: bacterial SSU rRNA
Rfam family: Bacterial small subunit ribosomal RNA
Source: RNAcentral